CAGCUUAUAUAGCCAAGACCAGCCAAUCCGGUCAAAGGAUGGUCUAUGCCCCAACCAAUCACAGCUUGUUUCCAGGCAGUUUCCAAAGCCAUCCAAUUACAGCCUGUUGCCAGGCAGGCUCCAUUUGCCAGGUGGGUUUCAAAGCCAUUCCUGAGUAACCGAUGCUCGCUUGCCAGCAGCCAUCUUGGCAUGGCCUUCUCAAAAAAAGAAAGCACAGGCCCCUCUCUCGGGGUGAACCCAUUCCAGGGCAUCCUGCCCUUCACAAAGAAAAGAGAACUCUCCCUGGGGCUCCUGCUGGCUUCUCUGGGAUCGGUCGCAUUAUCGAGAAAUUCUCAAGUUGCUUGUACUUUUGAAAUCAAUUGUUAAUGCUCUCCAUCCUCCAUUGUGAACCAUGAAUCUGAUCUCCAUGGACAAUCUUCAAUGGCCUUUCCAAUCCUAUGGUUUCCAGGACUGGUUAAUGGCACUACAUUUCAAGUACUAUCUGGAACUAUUAAAAUGGCCUCAUAAUUCUAGAUGACUUCAGAAAUCAAAAGAAAAUUGCUAUCUAUUUGGAUCCUCCAUCACCUAAAAGGAAUUCCAGCACAUUAUUUACACUUUGGGUAUUAGAGACAGUGUUGUCUCACUGGAAUAUUCUACUUAAAUUUUUCAUAGUUGUUAAUCUAUGAAUCAGAAUCCCUGAUGUGGGAUACCAACAGACUAUACUGGAACCAUCCAGCCAGCUGUGGAACACGCUCUACCUAUAUAACCAGCUGUGGAGCUUUCUCUACAUUUAUACUCCCAGAAUUUGAAUAUUCUCUUUAAGCUAUGAAUAUCUUUGGCUAAUUAUGCUGCAUAUUAGAAUAUAUGCCAAAGGAAAGGAACCUCCAACAAAGGAACACUUGAGAUUUUGGACUUCUUCUCAUGAGUUAUUUAGAUCAAGGGGUUGAUGUUGUGGCAUUGCAGGUAAAGUUGCUGCCUGUAACACUGGUAAACCUUAUGGGAGCCAGUUCAUGUCCCAACUACUCCACUUCCCUUCAGGCUCCCUGUUAAUAUCCUGGAAAAAUUAAUGGAAUAUGGUCCAAAGUGCUUGGGUUCCUGCCACCCAUGUAGAAGAUUCCAAGAUGAAGCUCCUGACUUGUGACUUCAGGUUGGCCCAGUCCUGGCUGUUGCAGCCAUCUGGAGAGUGCAACUGGUUAUAAGAUAUCUCUGUCUCCCUCUCUCUGUCUCUCCAUUUCUCCUUUUCUCCCUCUCUCCCUCUUUAUCUGUAACUCUGAGUUUCAAAUAAAUAAAUAGAUCCUAAAAAAAAAAAACAGUUAUGAAGUUCAGAAGGGACCAAUAAAUUUCACCUACCAAGUGGAAAUACUAUAUUUAAGAAAGUAGUAGUGCUAAAUAGGAGCACCUUUAAUUGACCAGUUUGUAGUUUUCCAAAUGGUAGACACAGUAGGACACAGGAAACAGUAAAAUCAGCAGAAAUAUAAGUAGCAAGGUUUAUCUAGUUGGUUAUACUUGUACUCAAGAGUUGUGAAGGUCAGAAGGUUAAAAAUACAGAGGAUCAAUAAGCCUCACCUGCCACAUAGAAAUGGCAUAUCCGAGAUAGCAGUAGCACUGGUGCCAGUAGUAUGUCAGAUUUAUAUUUAAAAGUGGGGACUUUGGGGGAUUAUACGCUGUUUUUCCAGUCUACCGUGGCUACAACAUUCUGGCCUUUGAAAUUAAUGAGUUGUGGUUUUAAGAAGCAGUCCACAUACUGUCCUCACUUCUGUCCCAAGUUGCAGGUUCAGGGAUCCUCAAGAUGCUCUUUAUUUUCAGUAAUUUACUACAGGGGCCAGCGCUGUAGCACAGUGGGUUAACACCCUGGCCUGAAGCACUGGUAUCCCACAUGGGUUCAGGCUCAAGACCCGGCUGCUCCACUUCCGACCCAGCUCUCUGAUAUGGCUUGGGAAAGCAGUAGAAGAUGGCCCAAGUCCUUGGGCCCCUGCAUCCGCAUGGAAAACCCAGAAGAAACUCCUGGCUCCUGGCUCCUGGCUUCAGAUUGAUACAGCUCUGGCCUUUGCGGCCAAUUGGGGAGUGAACCAACAGAUGGAAGACCUCUCUCUCUCUCUCUCUUUCUUGCUCUCU
Oryctolagus cuniculus (rabbit) is the source of this 2094-nucleotide non-coding RNA. NCBI's taxonomy places the organism in Eukaryota, Metazoa, Chordata, Mammalia, Lagomorpha, Leporidae. The record is from RefSeq and is a predicted model, not a curated record.